CGACACGUGAACACGGAGCGCAGGCGCGGCAACGGGGGCGAAGCUGGAACCCCGAGUGCAGACGUCGUUGGAGGAAAGCAGAAAGCUUUAAAUCUAAGAAGAGGUGAAAAAUGCUACAGCCACAAAGGGAACAUCUGUUUGAGGGACAACGCAAAGAUAGAGAAGCCAGAUUUUGAUGACAUCAGUUGAACAACUUGAUCAAGCGGUACCUGAAGCAAGCCUACUGCUGCAGUUUUCAAUGGCAAAAGCCAAUAAAUUCUCCUCAUGCCUUCCUCAAUCACUGUG
This is a non-coding RNA of Microcebus murinus (gray mouse lemur), 285 nucleotides long. The record is from RefSeq and is a predicted model, not a curated record. Lineage: Eukaryota; Metazoa; Chordata; Mammalia; Primates; Cheirogaleidae.